Molecule: ribosomal RNA, 495 nt
Filed under: uncultured bacterium
Lineage: Bacteria
Description: partial 16S ribosomal RNA
Rfam family: Bacterial small subunit ribosomal RNA
Source: RNAcentral
GACGAACGCUGGCGGCGUGCCUAAUACAUGCAAGUAGAACGCUGAAGGAGGAGCUUGCUUCUCUGGAUGAGUUGCGAACGGGUGAGUAACGCGUAGGUAACCUGCCUGGUAGCGGGGGAUAACUAUUGGAAACGAUAGCUAAUACCGCAUAAGAGUAGAUGUUGCAUGACAUUUGCUUAAAAGGUGCAAUUGCAUCGCUACCAGAUGGACCUGCGUUGUAUUAGCUAGUUGGUGGGGUAACGGCUCACCAAGGCGACGAUACAUAGCCGACCUGAGAGGGUGAUCGGCCACACUGGGACUGAGACACGGCCCAGACUCCUACGGGAGGCAGCAGUAGGGAAUCUUCGGCAAUGGACGGAAGUCUGACCGAGCAACGCCGCGUGAGUGAAGAAGGUUUUCGGAUCGUAAAGCUCUGUUGUAAGAGAAGAACGAGUGUGAGAGUGGAAAGUUCACACUGUGACGGUAUCUUACCAGAAAGGGACGGCUAACUACGUG